AGAGUCCUGCUGGAGCUGUAAGACUUUAUCAGGUCUCUGAUUUAAGCUUUAACAUUGUAGUUGCAGUGUAGAAGCUCCUGGCUUCUUGUAAUAGUUUCACACUAAUUUUUUUAUGAUUGCAGAUGUAAGGGGUAGUUUUCGGUAAAGCCAAAUUUGAUGUGUUAUUAGCACAUCUGUGAGAAGUUUGUGGCUGCUUUUGAAACAGUAUGACUUAGCAAAAUCUGAGAGCAGAUGGGUCAAGUCUGCAACCCCCAAUACCAAAUAAAUAUGUGCAAUGUUUUUUACAUGAGCCUUGAAUUUCAAGUGACACGUGACAGCAUGCCUCUAACAGUGUUCCUUCUUGCAUCCUCACUCCUUCACAUUCCUUUCUACCUCUUUGUGCACCACCUUUUUAUGAACUAUGCUAAUGCUCAGUCUCCUAUUGUUACAGCAAACAAAGUUUCUUUUGUACAUACCACACCGAUUAAGACUCACUCUGAGUCAGUGGCAUCGUUUGAGUGUAGAGCCUGUCCUACUAUUCUUGAAAGGCUGGGUUCCAAGUUCAUACCAUUUACUGGAAGAAACAUUUCAUCUUGACGCCAUCCCAAAAAGAUUUCUGAAACUUUGUCAUGCCAGUAAAUGUUGCCGCCCUGCACAAUGACAGGCUGGCUCCAUGUUUUUAUCAUUUUUAAUCAGUUAAAUCAGUCCAGGGCCAAGAUUGUCAACUGGCCUGCAUGACUUUCACUCAGUGGGUGAAAUCCAGCAAACCUUAAUGACUUUCUCUUGAAGUUUCUAUUUGAAGUCAAGUCAAGUCAAGUCAAGUUUAUUUGUAUAGCACAUUUCAGCAGCAGGGCAAUUCAAGGUGCUUUACAUGAAACAAGCAGGCAAAACAUUCAACACAAUUUAAAAAGUAAAAACAGCGUAAAAGACAUUUAACAGAUUAAAAGUUACAUUCAAAGCUAAAAUAAGAAGGAAGGAUUUGAAGGAUCCAUGUGCUGACCUUGAUAACUGUUGCAAUUACCUCAACCAAUAACACAAAGAAAAUAGCAACACUUACCCAAAUUCUAAACAGGAAUGAGCAGUUUGUGUUGGGCCUUAAGUGCAGCUUUCAUCUUUCAUCUUCAUGCUGCGGGAAAAGGAAGUUUAUUUCGUCUCAUGCAUCUCCCAGAAUGCACUGAGAGAACCCAUGCCAAGCUACAAACAGUCAUGUGCUUAAAUCUCAAGACAGCUGCCUAUUUACAGACUCUACAAAGAUAGUUGCAGCAACAUUUGCAUUCAUAUAUCAAUAUGACCAUUAAUUUAAGGUAUUGUCUGUCACAUUAAGCUAAACAGACUUGGUAGAACUUAGAUAUAUUAUUUAUAAAUAUGAUUAAUUUUGUGUAUAAUCAGUAAAAUUUUAAUUUCAGUUUGAUUUAUUUAGACUUUCAGAGCUUCUCAAAAACUGGGUUGGUGUCAGGAACAUUGCACUUAGUUGGUUUCAUUCUCAUCUCUUAGUACUAACCGUUGCAGUCACCACAAGUAAUCACUCAUUAACUGUGGUAUACCGCAGGGUUCAGUUUUAGAUCCUAUUUUAUAUUCUAUUUAUGUGCCUCCCUUUGGCCGAAUUGUUUGCUUUGCAGAUGAUACACAGAUGUAUCUUCUCUUGAGACCUGGGGAGCCAUAUCCUCAGGUAGCACCCUACCAGAUGUUCCAAAGUUCAGACUCUAAACGAACCAUCAGGGUCCUUUGCAUCUGAAACAACCUACCUGAGGAGAUAACGUUCACAGAAAUCAUUCACAUCUUUUAAAUCUCUUCUUGAGACCAGUUUUUAUAGGUUUUCUUUCAUGUGAUGCUGUCCUGUUAUUGCCUUUAUCACCUUUUACCUCUUUGGUUAUUUUAAACUUCAAAUUAAUUUCAUUUUAAGACUUUGGUAUCUUUCUCUUGCUUCCAUCUCCUUCCUUUCUUACUUUGCUUCAUUGGACCUCUUGGUCUCAGAUCCUAUUCCUUGUUCUUGUGCUGCUUGGGCUCUUAUAUCUCAUAUUGUUGGGUUCAUGUGUGGCUAAGGAUGAUCUAGCUCAUAAAUGCAAUAUUAGUCCUGAACUGUGCCUUCACUGUUAAUGUUGUGCAGCCAUAAUGCAAGGUUUGGCAUUUUGGUAUCAUGCCAACACCUGAAUAUUUGCAUCAUUAAUUCAAGCUUAAUUCAGAGCUCAUGACCUUCUUUCCUCUGUUUGCAAGUGACUUGUUGGAUUAAACUGCUUGUUAAUCUGGGCAAACGCCUUGCCUGUUGGUUUUAUCUUUUGUAAACUCCUUUCAGAGUGAAAUACUUAAUGCAUGAAUUUUACUGUCGCCCUUUCUUCUCUACAUGCAAGUGACUCAUCAUACCUCUACAGUCAAAGCAGGAGUGACAGGUUAACGGGUUGACCUGAUGCUCUUUUCUUCCCCCAUUUGAUUAAAGAAGAGACAAACAAGUCUAUUCAUCUGUUAUUUACUCUGUUUUUACUCUGUUUUGACCUGGGAGAUUAGAGAGCUGGAGCGAGACCCAGGUGUCAUCAGGGGAGGGGCAGGGUGCACCCAUUGGCAGAUAAGCAGUCUAUCACAGGGCUGAUAUUGAGUAUACAAAAAGUUCCAGACACACUCAUCCAAAAGAACUACACAGCAUGUGGGAGGCAGCGGGAGUAUCCGAAGGGAAUUCACACAUGCAUGAAGAGGACAUGCAAACUGGGCACAGAAAGGCUCCUGCCCAAAGAGUGAGCCAGGAACCGUAAAACUGUCAGGCGAUGACACCUCUGCACCAUUGCAUGAAAAAGUAAAACUAUAUUAGCCCUUUGCAUUGGCAUACAGUAUUCCUGACAAUGUUGCAUUUUCCUCCUUUUUCAACACUUUUUGUGUUUCAAAAUAACCUGAUUUCUCAUUAACACUUCUACACAUACACUGUGGUGUACGCCCAGGAUAUGUUGUAAAGCUCUGACUUUUAGAAUAUGAAGCCAAAAAACAAUCCAACUAAAAUCCAAUCAUGUCAGCUAUCAUGCUCAGGGUUGAGAACUCUGUAAUUGAUAUUAUUGUGUUAUUUCUGCACUCCAAGUAGUAAACCUUGAUAUCUGACAAACUGUGGUUUAACAGUUCUCUAGAGUUGAUAAGCAGCCAUAAAAAAAUAAUUGAAUUGUAUGGGAGAAGUUGCUGGAGAGUGUUGGUCCCAUGAAAAGGGAUCCUCUUACGCUUGGCUACUUUUAACCCUCCAGAAAUAAUGGUGGAUAAUUUCACCUCACAUAAAAUGCACUGUGUUUAUAAGGCGUUAUCAGGCUCAGUUUUAAAGCUAGCACAAAGUCGUUUAUAUCAUUUCAACCACAACCGAAUCCAAUGAUAUAGCUUAGCAAAGUUAGUAGUUAUUCAGUAGGUAGUAAGUCCCACUUUCCCCCCAACACAGACCCUCUUGGAGGAGAUACAUACUGGCCGUCACUGAAAUAGAUGGACAAAUCAAAGUCAUAGAGAAAUAUAGGCCAAAGGUGGUAAUGAUCUGGUUUAGUCUAACACAGCAGUACCUUUAGCUGCCCCCACGGGAACUACAGUGUUGAUCUAAUGAUAGACACAGCUCAAAGGACAGCUGUAGCACGGUGAGAUCCACAUGACUACAGGUACUGACUCAUGCUUUGAAAAUAGUUAUUUACCAGGUAUCUGUCUAAAGAACAUCAGGAAUGUCAUCUGUUCAGGAAGAGAUUAGCCUGCAUUUUCCCUAUUCUUUAUAGCUUCGCUUACCUUCCUUCUCACGCCUUGCUUUCUCAUGCUCUGUUUAUUUAAUGGCCUCUGUGCUGUAAGUGCUUGAGGCGUCUCAGAUUUCUUUGUAUUUUGGAAAUUGUGCAAAUAAAUUGUUAAGUGAGUGAGAAUACCUCUUUGAAGGGACUUGAAGCCCUCCGGUUCAGUGCCUUGAGUCUCUUUUUGAAGAACAGGGUUCAAAUGGGUCUAAUUGCAGACCUACCACAGUUAGACAAGGUUAAGGUAAUUUCAUUUUAAAUGGGUCAUUUAUUCAGACAACACAGCCACUCUGGCACUUCUCUCAGACAACCAAUCCACCCUAGACUAUCACAAUACAGCGACUCGUUUUACCAAGUUGUGCACAGACAAUCAUCCCCAAAUCAAUGUCAAUAAAACAAAGGAACUUUAAUAUGCUUAUUGUAACCAACCAGGCCACACUCACACGUAUUACAAACACCGCUAAAAUCACCAGUCUCCCCACACCCAGCCUCACAGAAGCAAAGAACAAGUCCAUCACUUGCAUACCUACUUGCAUGCUACCCUCAGGGCGCAGAUACAAAACCAUCAAGUCCAGGAGGACUCGGCUGGGGAAAAGCCUGAUCCCUGCAGCCAUAGUCACCCUGAACAGCAGGCCCAGCUGAUCUGUCUGUCCGCUAUUGUGUUGUCAUUUAAGUUUGUCAUCAUUGUUGUGUAUGCCAUUUAUUGUUGGUGUGUAUGUAGUGUCCGUUGUUGUGUGUGAUGUGCAAUGUACUGUCAGCGAAGACAAAUCUCUCUAAGGGACAAAUAAAUCAAAUCAAUCAAUCAUAUCUAUCAGAAGUUAGCCACAGAGAAGACCAGCUUUGUCGGGCGGGGAAAUCUCCCUGCAUGUUGUGUGGAAGGUUCCCAACCGUUCUGUCUGUUGUGUGUUGCUUCCUUAUAUAGGAACUUAAGGAGACUGAGCUGCAACAUCUUCAUGCACAACACCUCCAAGCGUUCCAUGCAAGCGGUGGCGGACUGGUACUAAAAAACAGCCCUAGACUUUGACUCGGCCCGGCCCCAGCCCACAACAACGGAUGCGUGAAAACUCAUCAGAUACAGACACGGGUCUCAGAAUACUUAAAUCUAAACCCAUGAGUUUUUACCUUCCAAAUAACUGCAUUAUCACUGAUGUUGACUAAAAGUUGUGUUAAGAGCACAGUGUAGAAUACUCAGUGAGAAAUAAACACCACUCUUUAAAUGGUAUGAGUUUUGAUAAAUCACAAUUUAAAGAGGCUGUGAUUAUACAGUUAACAUAGAUACUCACUGAGAAAUAAACAACACACUCUUCAAAUGUCUCUCAAUGAACAAUACAAUGGUGGCUGCCUUAAACUGUGCUACUAAUGAUCUGUGGCAUCUUAACAGCUCAUGGGCUGUUGGUAGUCGUCACUGGCACAUACUGGAUAAGCACAGCUGUCUCAUCCCCUCAGCGGCUCAGAUACUGUGAGUCACAUCCUCAAUCACUUGUUGCAGAGAAUUUAACCAGGGAGUUUAAAUGUCAAACUGACAACAGAAUAAGCCCUAGAGAGUUUUCCUGUUUGAAUGAUCAUCAAUGAAAAUGUUCAUUAUUCACCUCCAGUUAAAAAACUGCUGGGCAAACAUUUUAGCAAAAAUAGUUUUUGGUGUUUAAGGGCGCGUUCACACCACCCUCGUUUAGUCCGGUUAAACCGAACCCUGGAGCGUUUACCCCCUUGGUGCGGUUCAUUUGGGUCAGUGUGAAUGCUGACCUCAAACUCUGGUGCGGACCAAAUAAACAAACUCUGGUCCCCUGAAGAGGUGGUCUUGGACUGCUGUCAACUGAACUCUGGAGCGGUUCAUUUCUCCAUUUCUGGUGUGAACGUCAUCCACACCAAUCACAGAAAACGCACCUAGGCUAGGCUAUUUGUAAUACUGGUUUUAAAAUAAAUGUUGUCCGCUCUCCUCACUUGUCCCGAUUGACACCAGAGAGAAAACGCAUUGUGGUAGACUCUCAUUAAUGCCUGUCGCCAUCUCGUCUGUAUCCAUCUGUUGUUUGCAGCAUUCCUACUCCGGAAUGAAUUAAUGAAUGCCGCAGUUCGCGCUCACAGGCUAACGAGGCGUUCAUACGCGCGAUCGGCUAGUGUCUUUUGAUACGCACUCCAAAUGAGUAGUAAAAGCAAAAUCAGCCUUUGAUGCUCCAUGACAGGCGAAGACAGCAGAGCGGGGUUUAUAUUCCCGCAUAAACUAAUCACCAAUAAACGAAUGAUAUUUGCGAUCAUGUGACUUCCGGUUUCGUUUUCUAGAGCGAUUGAGUUUGUCUUUUGUGAACACAAACCGGACCAGUUAAACAAUCAAAACAAAUGUAUCGUCUUGCCUUGGAUUCGAAUCAGGAAACGGACCUUUGGUUCUGAGGCAUGUUUACUGGCAAAUAUUUCUGUCAGCUUCCGACAUUUGGAUGCUUUGCUCUCUUACUAUUUAUUUUUCUCUCACCUUCUCAGCCCCACCCUUUUCUUUCCUCUUUUUUAGAAUUAACAACACCAGCAGUAUCCAUGGCCUCUAGUUUCGCCCAUCUGCACUUCCAUUCGGCUGAGUGAUGAGUGGGCUUCUAAUCUGUGAGUCCGCAGGCGCAUUGUCGCAACCCAUUGGUCUAGUAGAUUAUAAGCAAAAGAAAAAAGAAAAAACUGUGAUGGCUGCACAGCGGCCGGCGGCGGUCCUGCAGCACUGGACAUUCUGAUAUUCUCCAGAACAUCCAGAUGGCCAAUCCGCCCCUGCACGCAGGUGUUGACACACUGAGCUUACGGCUGGUGGUUCAACAGUGGGAUGUGCUGCAAGGAAGCCAGAUAGUAAAAUAAACCUUGUCAGAUGAAGAAAGGAAAAAAACAUUUAACAAAUGGCAUAGAGCUGUAAAAGCGACAUACUGUUAGUCUCUUGCUUACAUGUUUUGCCAACCAUUUUGACACGUAACACAUCAACCAAAAGACGACCCGAUAGUAACAGGCUGAAAAGGAUAUUUACCACCUCUGGAACAGAAGUGGACAUGCUUCUGUCAAUUAUUAGAUUUUUGCAUAGUCGUGCAUGUGAACUGGAAUAAGGACAUCUGUCCAGAUCAGUGGCGGCUGCUGGUCUUUCAAGGAGGGGAAGCUCAUUUUUCUGGCCUACAUCAUAAUUGUAUUUGUUUAUUAGUAUGUAACAGAACAGAGUCGCCAAACACAACGGCAGUCGUUUUUAACAAAGACAAAAGUCGCUGAGGAUCGGUAAAGUCUCCGGAGCAGUUAAGAACAACGGAAUGAAUAACUUGGAAAAUGCUCUGGUAGAUGUUUUAUUCUUCAAGAUCGCUGAUUCGCUUGUUUAGCUGUCAAUCAAAAAAGGAUUUCGCCUCAGACAGCUCAUCCAAUCAUGGAUGCAGAAGCGCGGAGUCCGGGAGAAAGUCGGGACUGCCCUCUCGCCAUAGAACUCCAGUGAAGCUGGGCUUCCAUUGGGCGGGACAAAGCCCAGCAUUUAUCCAAUGAGCGUCUAGUUUCGCUGCUGGAACAACCCACUUUGAGCCUCCACAUUGAAGUCAGCAGAAGCCCAGCGUCCGACUGUUUGAAGCGCUGAGGCGCUGCGAGGAUGAAUGAGAACGAAGUUAUGCCGGUUACCUGUGAUUAUCAGCUUCUUAUCACAGUGUCUGAACAAAAGAUGAAGGCUUUCUAGUGCGUAUUUAGUUAAUGAAAUGUACACACAGCCGUACGUAUUUCACCACUUUUUCUUUUUUUUGGGGGGUGACAUUUUAAGGGAAGCCGAGCUUCCCUUGCAGUCUUAGAGCAAUCGCCACUGGUCCAGAUCCUGAUCAAGCCAUGGCUGUAGCUCAACUUAACUGCGCAUGUGGACGUACUGAAUGAAUACAAGCAAAUUUUUCAGGGGCCAUGAAAACAUGUUUGGUCAUCCAGCACCAUCAAUCGCUUAGUUUACGCUCUAUCUAACCGUGUUUACUUUAUCUUUACAUGCAAUCUACUGCUGCCCACAGUUUCAUUCAUGUUAGGUGUGAACACAAAUAUUUGUUCUGUGUUUCUUCCAGCCUUUGCUCCAGGUUUGUCAAUGUCAGAACACUGAUUUGUUCAAUAGAGGAACCUCAGUUAUAACUGCUACAAAAGGUUUUCUUCUGGUACAGAAAAGCCACACUCCAACUGAUGUUUGACAUAUAUUUAUUUUCUUCUCUUCAAUGGCAAACACCGUGAAAAACUAAGUUAAAUACAAAGACACAAGAAUUGCCCUGCAAAAACAUUCACAUUUCCAAUAGCCUCAGGUGGACUUGAGUACAUUGUCUCAUGAAGCUGUAAUAUUUUAUUUAGCACAGACUUGUUCUGUUUAGGGGAAGAGGUGUUACUUCCCGGAGCUCGAGUGUGUUUUGUCAUAGAUCCAAGGAGUCUGCCCAAAGUUAUACUAUUAAUUUCUGUCAAUCUUUCAUAGGGUAAGUAAUACAAAUCAAGUUUUUACAUGUAAUUGAAUGCUAUCAGCUGGGGGGGGGGGUUCUCAUUUCUGGGAAAUGAGAGUUGAGUCUAGUCUCAACAGUUUAGCUGUUUCUCUCUUUUUUUUCUUUGUGCUUGUUUACUUUCUUAGGAUCCCCCAUAGACUGUAUAUAGAAUGGACGCCCUCUGCCUCCUUGCUGGGUGAAGCCACUCCGAGAGCAGCACCCACUGUUGAUGGGCUGCAGUAAAGGUAAUAAAUCCCACCUCCGCCAGCAAUCCUUUUGGAGCUGUGGACGAACUUUAGAAAUUUAUUUCACGGAAUAUAAAUUUUUCUCCCCCCUGCUUGUGAUGUUGAAAUGUAGUUACUGUAAGACUGGUUUGUGCUCAAAUCCUCUUUUUUCUGUGAAGCUCCAUUUUUAAAAUUUAUUUGGGGGUUCAUGUUUUCUUUGAUUGACACCUGAUACAGCCUCUGGGCGCACAGGGAUUGCGUAGUGUCAUCACAGCGACGCUUGGCAACUCUCUCGCCGAAUGCGCACAAUGCUACUGCGCAGCGCUGGUUUCAGGAAAUGAAGAAAAAUCCCAGAAAUACAGAGAGCUUUUUGGCUUCAAAUCCGUAUACAGACGGGAGGCGGAACCAAGUUGUCCAUAGUAUAUACAGUCUAUGAGAUCCCCAUUAGCACAGGCAUAAGCUUCAGCUAAUCCUCCGAGUGUCCAACACAUACUUGAUAGGACAGCCGAAGACAGACAUGAAACGCAGGGAGUAAAGAUUGGGGUACCACACACAGCCAAGGGUUGCAGUGGCAUACUCAAGAAGUUGGAGGGGCAGGGGCAACAAAUUGAAAUGGCUCGUAGCCUGGAGGUUAGAGAAUCAGUAGCCCAGACAUCAACAGCAUUGGGCUCAUUUAAAAAUAUGGGCAUAAAUAAUGACAACAGAGUCCAGGGGUCCUCCACCAGGGAGUUAUAAACAUUCAAAUCUAAAUUCACCAAAAUUUGGUAUAUGUCUUUGCUGUUGGUUGUGAUGGAUAUUUCAUAUUUCAUAAAACACAAAGUUAUGAAUGCAUGAUUGACAAAAAGAUGAAUACUAAUUAUUGCAUGAAGGUAGUGUUACGCCCCAGUCUAGGGGUGCCUAGGGCACAACAUGAGAAGGCCUCAUCUUCCCCAAGUCCCAAGU
This is a non-coding RNA of Xyrichtys novacula (pearly razorfish), 9300 nucleotides long. The record is from the annotation of a GenBank genome assembly. Lineage: Eukaryota; Metazoa; Chordata; Actinopteri; Labriformes; Labridae.